ACCGUACUCCUACGGGAGGCAGCAGUGGGGAAUCUUGCACAAUGGGCGGAAGCCUGAUGCAGCGACGCCGCGUGAGGGAUGACGGCCUUCGGGUUGUAAACCUCUUUCGCUAGGGAAGAAGCCGCUUUGUGGUGGUGACGGUACCUGGAUAAGAAGCACCGGCUAACUACGUGCCAGCAGCCGCGGUAAUACGUAGGGUGCGAGCGUUGUCCGGAAUUACUGGGCGUAAAGAGCUCGUAGGUGGUUUGUCGCGUCGUCUGUGAAAUCCCGGGGCUUAACUUCGGGCGUGCAGGCGAUACGGGCAAACUGGAGUGCUGUAGGGGAGACUGGAAUUCCUGGUGUAGCGGUGGAAUGCGCAGAUAUUAGGAAGAACACCGAUGGCGAAGGCAGGUCUCUGGGCAGUAACUGACACUGAGGAGCGAGAGCAUGGGUAGCGAACAGGAUUAGAAACCCCUGUAGUCCUUGAC
RNAcentral lists this ribosomal RNA (467 nucleotides) under uncultured bacterium. Its description in RNAcentral is "bacterial SSU rRNA". It matches the Rfam family "Bacterial small subunit ribosomal RNA", at positions 330 to 801 of the family's 1533-position model. The record is from RNAcentral.